Molecule: ribosomal RNA, 664 nt
Filed under: uncultured fungus
Lineage: Eukaryota; Fungi
Description: eukaryotic LSU rRNA
Rfam family: Eukaryotic large subunit ribosomal RNA
Source: RNAcentral
ACCCGCUGAACUUAAGCAUAUCAAUAAGCGGAGGAAAAGAAACUAACAAGGAUUCCCCUAGUAACUGCGAGUGAAGAGGGAAAAGCUCAAAUUUGAAAUCUGGUGGCCCCUGUGGCCGUCCGAGUUGUAAUUUAGAGAAGUGCUAUCCGCGUUGGACCGUGUACAAGUCUCCUGGAAUGGAGCGUCAUAGAGGGUGAGAAUCCCGUCUUUGACACGGAUCACCAGGGCUUAUGUGAUGCGCUCUCGAAGAGUCGAGUUGUUUGGGAAUGCAGCUCAAAAUGGGUGGUAAAUUCCAUCUAAAGCUAAAUAUUGGCGAGAGACCGAUAGCGAACAAGUACCGUGAGGGAAAGAUGAAAAGAACUUUGAAAAGAGAGUUAAACAGUACGUGAAAUUGUUGAAAGGGAAACGCUUGAAGUCAGUCGCGUCGUCCAGGGAUCAACCUUGCAUCAUUUGCUGGGUGUACUUCCUGGUUGACGGGUCAGCAUCGAUUUCGACCGUCGGAAAAAGGUCAAGGGAAUGUGGCAUCUUCGGAUGUGUUAUAGCCCUUGGUUCGCAUACGACGGUUGGGAUCGAGGAACUCAGCACGCCGCAAGGCCGGGGUUCGCCCACGUACGUGCUUAGGAUGCUGGCAUAAUGGCUUUAAUCGACCCGUCUUGAAACACGG